RNAcentral lists this ribosomal RNA (2503 nucleotides) under Vibrio parahaemolyticus. RNAcentral describes it as "bacterial LSU rRNA". It matches the Rfam family "Bacterial large subunit ribosomal RNA", at positions 457 to 2925 of the family's 2925-position model. The record is from RNAcentral. Lineage: Bacteria; Pseudomonadati; Pseudomonadota; Gammaproteobacteria; Vibrionales; Vibrionaceae.
CCUCCAAGGCUAAAUACUACUGACUGACCGAUAGUGAACCAGUACCGUGAGGGAAAGGCGAAAAGAACCCCUGUGAGGGGAGUGAAAUAGAACCUGAAACCGUGUACGUACAAGCAGUAGGAGCACCUUCGUGGUGUGACUGCGUACCUUUUGUAUAAUGGGUCAGCGACUUAUAUUCAGUGGCAAGGUUAACCAUCUAGGGGAGCCGUAGGGAAACCGAGUCUUAACUGGGCGUUCAGUCUCUGGAUAUAGACCCGAAACCAGGUGAUCUAGCCAUGGGCAGGUUGAAGGUUGAGUAACAUCAACUGGAGGACCGAACCGACUAAUGUUGAAAAAUUAGCGGAUGACUUGUGGCUAGGGGUGAAAGGCCAAUCAAACCUGGAGAUAGCUGGUUCUCCCCGAAAGCUAUUUAGGUAGCGCCUCGGACGAAUACUACUGGGGGUAGAGCACUGUUAAGGCUAGGGGGUCAUCCCGACUUACCAACCCUUUGCAAACUCCGAAUACCAGUAAGUACUAUCCGGGAGACACACGGCGGGUGCUAACGUCCGUCGUGGAGAGGGAAACAACCCAGACCGCCAGCUAAGGUCCCAAAUUACUACUAAGUGGGAAACGAUGUGGGAAGGCUCAGACAGCCAGGAUGUUGGCUUAGAAGCAGCCAUCAUUUAAAGAAAGCGUAAUAGCUCACUGGUCGAGUCGGCCUGCGCGGAAGAUGUAACGGGGCUAAGUAGUAAACCGAAGCUGCGGCAAUAUACUUUUGUAUAUUGGGUAGGGGAGCGUUCUGUAAGCGGUUGAAGGUGUGUGGUAACGCAUGCUGGACGUAUCAGAAGUGCGAAUGCUGACAUGAGUAACGAUAAAGGGGGUGAAAAACCUCCUCGCCGGAAGACCAAGGGUUCCUGUCCAACGUUAAUCGGGGCAGGGUAAGUCGACCCCUAAGGCGAGGCCGAAAGGCGUAGUCGAUGGGAAACGGGUUAAUAUUCCCGUACUUCUUACAAUUGCGAUGGGGGGACGGAGAAGGCUAGGUGGGCCUGGCGACGGUUGUCCAGGUUCAAGUGCGUAGGCUUAAGAGUUAGGUAAAUCCGGCUCUUUUUAAGGCUGAGACACGACGUCGAGCACCUACGGGUGUGAAGUCAUUGAUGCCAUGCUUCCAGGAAAAGCCUCUAAGCUUCAGAUUGUAAGGAAUCGUACCCCAAACCGACACAGGUGGUCGGGUAGAGAAUACCAAGGCGCUUGAGAGAACUCGGGUGAAGGAACUAGGCAAAAUGGUACCGUAACUUCGGGAGAAGGUACGCUCUUGAUGGUGAAGUCCCUUGCGGAUGGAGCUGACGAGAGUCGCAGAUACCAGGUGGCUGCAACUGUUUAUUAAAAACACAGCACUGUGCAAAAUCGUAAGAUGACGUAUACGGUGUGACGCCUGCCCGGUGCCGGAAGGUUAAUUGAUGGGGUUAGACUUCGGUCGAAGCUCUUGAUCGAAGCCCCGGUAAACGGCGGCCGUAACUAUAACGGUCCUAAGGUAGCGAAAUUCCUUGUCGGGUAAGUUCCGACCUGCACGAAUGGCGUAAUGAUGGCCACGCUGUCUCCACCCGAGACUCAGUGAAAUUGAAAUCGCUGUGAAGAUGCAGUGUACCCGCGGCUAGACGGAAAGACCCCGUGAACCUUUACUACAGCUUGGCACUGAACAUUGACCCUACAUGUGUAGGAUAGGUGGGAGGCUUUGAAGCACGUACGCCAGUAUGUGUGGAGCCGUCCUUGAAAUACCACCCUUGUAGUGUUGAUGUUCUAACGUCGACCCCUUAUCGGGGUUGCGGACAGUGCCUGGUGGGUAGUUUGACUGGGGCGGUCUCCUCCCAAAGAGUAACGGAGGAGCACGAAGGUGGGCUAAUCACGGUUGGACAUCGUGAGGUUAGUGCAAUGGCAUAAGCCCGCUUGACUGCGAGAAUGACAAUUCGAGCAGGUGCGAAAGCAGGUCAUAGUGAUCCGGUGGUUCUGAAUGGAAGGGCCAUCGCUCAACGGAUAAAAGGUACUCCGGGGAUAACAGGCUGAUACCGCCCAAGAGUUCAUAUCGACGGCGGUGUUUGGCACCUCGAUGUCGGCUCAUCACAUCCUGGGGCUGAAGUCGGUCCCAAGGGUAUGGCUGUUCGCCAUUUAAAGUGGUACGCGAGCUGGGUUUAGAACGUCGUGAGACAGUUCGGUCCCUAUCUGCCGUGGGCGUUGGAAGAUUGAAGGGGGCUGCUCCUAGUACGAGAGGACCGGAGUGGACGAACCUCUGGUGUUCGGGUUGUGUCGCCAGACGCAUUGCCCGGUAGCUAAGUUCGGAAUCGAUAACCGCUGAAAGCAUCUAAGCGGGAAGCGAGCCCUGAGAUGAGUCUUCCCUGAUACUUUAAGUAUCCUAAAGGGUUGUCGGAGACUACGACGUUGAUAGGUCAGGUGUGUAAGUGCUGUGAGGCAUUGAGCUAACUGAUACUAAUUGCCCGUGAGGCUUAACCAUACAACACCCAAGGGGUUU